Molecule: ribosomal RNA, 407 nt
Filed under: uncultured bacterium
Lineage: Bacteria
Description: partial 16S ribosomal RNA
Rfam family: Bacterial small subunit ribosomal RNA
Source: RNAcentral
AUUGAACGCUAGCGGGGUGCUUUACACAUGCAAGUCGAACGGAGUGGCGGACGGGUGAGUAAUAUAUCGGAACGUGCCCAAUAGCGGGGAUUAACUACUGGAAAGAGUGGCUAAUACCGCAAACUUUUGGAGCGGCCAUUAUCGGAUUAGCUAGUUGGUGGGGUAAAGGCUCACCAAGGCAAAGAUCCGUAGCGGGUUUCGGAGGACGACCAGCCACACUGGGACUGAGACACGGCCCAGACUCCUACGGGAGGCAGCAGUGGGGAAUUUUGGACAAUGGGGGAAACCCUGAUGCAGCCAUCCCGCGUGUAUGAUGAAGGCCUUCGGGUUGUAAAGUACUGUUGGCAGAGAAGCGGUAUCUGCAGAAUAAGCACCGGCUAACUACGUGCCAGCAGCCGCGGUAAUAC